GACGAACGCUGGCGGCGUGCUUAACACAUGCAAGUCGAACGGUAAGGCCCUUCGGGGUACACGAGUGGCGAACGGGUGAGUAACACGUGGGUGUUCUGCCCUGCACUUCGGGAUAAGCCUGGGAAACUGGGUCUAAUACCGGAUAGGACCACUGCCUGCAUGGGUGGUGGUGAAAGCUUUUGCGGUGUGGGAUGGGCCCGCGGCCUAUCAGCUUGUUGGUGGGGUGAUGGCCUACCAAGGCGACGACGGGUAGCCGGCCUGAGAGGGUGACCGGCCACACUGGGACUGAGAUACGGCCCAGACUCCUACGGGAGGCAGCAGUGGGGAAUAUUGCACAAUGGGCGCAAGCCUGAUGCAGCGACGCCGCGUGAGGGAUGACGGCCUUCGGGUGGUAAACCUCUUUCAGCACCGACGAAGCGCAAGUGACGGUAGGUGCAGAAGAAGGACCGGCCAACUACGUGCCAGCCGCCGCGGUAA
Molecule: ribosomal RNA, 477 nt
Filed under: uncultured bacterium
Lineage: Bacteria
Description: partial 16S ribosomal RNA
Rfam family: Bacterial small subunit ribosomal RNA
Source: RNAcentral